This is a small nucleolar RNA of Zingiber officinale, 96 nucleotides long. NCBI's taxonomy places the organism in Eukaryota, Viridiplantae, Streptophyta, Magnoliopsida, Zingiberales, Zingiberaceae. The record is from RefSeq and is a predicted model, not a curated record.
UCAUGGCAGAUGAGGAUUUGUUGAUUUUAAUGGGUAAUUUGCAUCUGAAACUUGUGAUGUUACCUAUCAUAUCACCUUGGAGAUCUGAUGCCUAAA